UCUUUUCUGUGAAGAAAGCAUGAAAAACAACGUGUGGAGAGAAAGAACAGAGGUGUAAUCUGAAGGAGGAGAGAUGACCUCCAAAAUGAGCGUCUCUGUGGAUCAGGACACACAGGAAGCUGAGAGGCUGAUUCAGGGUAAGAGAUCAGACUCACCUGAACUCAGCUGUGUGUCCAUGAAGAGUGACCAGUCAAAGGAGGGAUUAGAAAACUUCAGAGAUGAUAACAGAUCCACAGAGCUCAG
Colossoma macropomum (tambaqui) is the source of this 243-nucleotide long non-coding RNA. RefSeq lists it as uncharacterized. The record is from RefSeq and is a predicted model, not a curated record. NCBI's taxonomy places the organism in Eukaryota, Metazoa, Chordata, Actinopteri, Characiformes, Serrasalmidae. The transcript is spliced from 3 exons.